Long non-coding RNA from Lathyrus oleraceus (garden pea), 2319 nucleotides. RefSeq lists it as uncharacterized. Lineage: Eukaryota; Viridiplantae; Streptophyta; Magnoliopsida; Fabales; Fabaceae. The record is from RefSeq and is a predicted model, not a curated record. The transcript has 4 exons.
AAAAUAACAAUAAAUGAAUAAAAAGUGAUAAUGAAAUAGUAAUGAACAAAAAUCUUUCAAUCUCCUCUCUCGUGUCCUUCCGUCUCUCACCUUCUCAUUUUUUCGUCCCCUUCUCUGAAUCGCUCUCUCUCAGAAACCCAAUCGCCCUCACGAACUCACCUCUCAAACUCUGUCUCGUCCUCUCAACUCACAAUCUCACUUAAUCGUUACCAACUAAACUCUCUCAAACUCAGACAUUCGUUCGAAUUCACAUGCUCAACAAAAGAAAAUCUCACCUUUGGCGACGACGAAUCAGAUUAGGGUUUCAAAAGUGUAAUUGGUGUUCAAAGGAGCAUCCUGCAAAAUCCUCUUUCAUGUGCUCAGCUUGGAUCGGCCUAUUUUGAUGCUAAAACCGAAAACGUGAAAAUGGAGCAUUGGUUUCGGUUCCGUUCUAUUACCGUUUUUCUGUUUCUGUUUUAGGUACCGGUAAUAGAUCCUCGUUUGCAUCAGGUGCCUUGGUUCGAAUUUCCUUGGCUUUAUCAGCCCAAGGAAGGGUGUUUUUGGGUUUCACCGAAUGAAAGGGUACUUGGGCUUAUGUUUGCAAUCAUGACAGUGUUACAAGUCCCUCCUAAUGAAUCCUUGAGAAGCUGAGUGAGUUUUGAAUUUCGGUAUGGAUUGUGCUUCUUGCCCUCUACAAGAGCAUUGAUGCAGCUGCUUAGUGCAAGAAGAGACCGGUAAAUAUUGGUACCCUCAAGAGACCUAAGUGUUCUUUGAUCUGUGGCAAAAACUCUCUCUGACCCUGCAAGAUCAAUCAACGAGAGUUUGCCCACCUUGUGAAUAAUAUUCACUGCAGUAUCUCUAACUCGGUAUUCAACCACGACCGAAGCAAUGCCAUCACUUCAUCGGUGGAGUAAGCUCUGUAUUGCGUAAGACUUGCUGCCUUCAUUUCUUCCCUUUUUAUUAAGUUGAAUCUCCACAAACUUACCAAACUGACUUGAAUUAUUUUUCCUCACAGUCUUUGCAUUGCCAUUAUGUUUUGCAUUUGCACACUUGGAGCAUGUUGUAUGCAGCGUAGAUUCUCCAAGACUUGCAUUUUUAUAGUGCUAAGAUACGAUUUACUGUUUAAAUUUUCUAUGUGCCCAUUCAGAAUCUUCAAUGAGAAGCCUGGUCCAAAAUAUUUGAUAUAAUCGUUCUCUGGAAUCUCAUUUGGAAGCUCUGUAGCUAGAAGAACUCCAGUUUCAACUGCACGGGUUUUGAAAUAUUGGACGGCCGGCAUGCUAGCAUUGAGUUGACAACAUGUGUUUCAAUAUGGGGAAUGGGAUGAUGCUAACCGAAUUCCAUGUGGUUUGAUGGAAAUCAUGUUGUGGUUGGAACUCCUUUGGAAUUGGGAUUUCUUGAAAUUCGACUACCUUGCUAUUAGUUCAUGCCAUAAGCAACAGACGAAAUCAAAAUGAAAGCACCAUCAUCACUGUUGAAAUGAGUUUGUAAUCUAGACAUAUGAUGGACAAAGCAAAAUUUGUAAACCAUAAACUCGUGCAGAAUGUCUAUAUACUCUGUACAUCAUAAACUUGUACAUUAUAAUAGCACCAUAAAUUUCAGUCUUCAAACUAGUGCACUGCAGGUUUUGAUGUGGGCUUUAUUGUUGUUUUAACUUUGCAGGUGCAUUGCCUGCAACCCUGGAUAGGACCGGGUUUAAUGCCAAGAACUGUAUUGCUACAGGCUUGACGAGAAACGAGAGCAAAGGCUGGAACAGGUGGAGCUUGGCAGGAGGAAGAGGGCCGCUUCGAGGAAAAAAGCACCGGUCAUUCUACAUACUCUCCAAUAGUUCUCGGUCAAAUCCAGAAAAUUCCUUUGUAGGUUCAUUUGUAGAUUUUUCUGCCGAGGGUCUGUUUGAUCGUUUGUCUUCUAGUUGGCAGGUCAAAUAUAUGGCGGCAGCAGAGAUGGUAAUUGGAUUCCUGCGAGUGCAGAAGCAUUCGUUGAUCACAACGUCUCCAAUAUGAGUAGCCAGUUCCUGAGCAGAUUUAUUGAGCUGAAGAAGAGUGCAAAAUCUUGGCAUAUGAACUGAUAUAGAAUUGCUGUUAAUGGGUCGACUUAGCUGUAAAGCUUCUCCCAAUAUCUUGAUGUAUCUUUAGUUUCUCCAGUUUUGUUCCUUUUGCCAAAUAAGCUGGAUUGUAAAGCCCCUGCUAUAAUGGAGCCAAACCGUCAUAAUUACUGCAUCAUCAUAUUGAGUUUUUUUGUUAGAAGUACAAGUAAUUGACCAGUUUUCCGAUGAGGAACUUCCAUCAUGACUGUAAGCUAGUGUCAAAACCUUUGCAUUUAAUGUAAGGUCAUCUUUGCCAA